This is a non-coding RNA of Hypoxylon argillaceum, 105 nucleotides long. The record is from the annotation of a GenBank genome assembly. NCBI's taxonomy places the organism in Eukaryota, Fungi, Ascomycota, Sordariomycetes, Xylariales, Hypoxylaceae.
GGACCCGUAGCUCAGCGGUAGAGCAUCUGAUUCCAGCUGUACAAUUUACAAUUGUAAAUUACAACUGCCUCCAGAAGGUCAUCCGUUCAAAUCGGGUCGGGUUCA